This 487-nucleotide ribosomal RNA is filed under the name uncultured bacterium. RNAcentral's name for it is "bacterial SSU rRNA". It matches the Rfam family "Bacterial small subunit ribosomal RNA", at positions 30 to 507 of the family's 1533-position model. The record is from RNAcentral.
AUUGAACGCUGGCGGCAGGCCUAACACAUGCAAGUCGAGCGCGAAAGUCUUCGGAUGAGUAAAAGCGGCGAACGGGUGAGUAAUGCAUGGGAAUCUGCCUGGUAGUGGGGGACAACGUCUCGAAAGGGACGCUAAUACCGCAUACGCCCUACGGGGGAAAGGGGGGGAGUCUUCGGACCUCUCGCUAUCAGAUGAGCCCAUGUCAGAUUAGCUAGUUGGUGAGGUAAAGGCUCACCAAGGCGACGAUCUGUAACUGGUCUGAGAGGAUGAUCAGUCACACUGGAACUGAGACACGGUCCAGACUCCUACGGGAGGCAGCAGUGGGGAAUAUUGGACAAUGGGGGCAACCCUGAUCCAGCCAUGCCGCGUGUGUGAAGAAGGCCCCCUAAGGGGUUUGUAAAGCACUUUCAGUGGGGAGAAAGGUUAAUUCACCUAAUACGUGAGUAGAUUGAUGUUACCCACAGAAGAAGCACCGGCUAACUCCGUG